UUUUGGGGACUGAUUCAUUUGUAGACAUUAGAGAAGAGCAUGAAAACAAUGCUAUAAUUUUGAUGUUUCUGCCUCAUGAAAGUUUUUUUUUUUUAGAGAACUGCAUAUUUAAAAUUAAACAUCUCUUUAGCUUGUGUGUGCUGAUGAUACAUACACAGGGUGUGCAGCCUGCUGUUUGUUGACCUCUGAAUGUAUUGAUUUGACUUCAUAUCCUUCACCACAUAAUCCAUGACUAGCAUGGUUAUGUUUCCACACAGACUUGAGUUACUGCUUGUGGAGCAGUGUUCAGGUUUUACUUCACAGUGGGAAGGAUGAGCUCCUCAGCAGAUAACUUAAUAUGAUCGCAACAGCACAAAAUACUCUGAAUAUUUUCUUAAAAGAAAACUGAUCUCUGACUUGUUAGCUGUGUGCCAAGACAAGGAAACAAUGAGAAACACUAUGUGUUCAUACAACACUUUGCAUUUAAUGAUUGGCUAUUAUUAAUCUCUUUAUUUCUUCCACACUGUGUCUUCUCUCCUGUCUCCCUUCCCUCACCCCCAGUUUGAUCGUGGCAGAUGGCUGCCCUCCCACAGCUUGGUGUGCCCGAGGGUUCUUCCUGUCAAAAGGGAGUUUUUCCUUCCCUCUGUUGAUUGUUGGGGUUUUCUCUCUAUUAUGAUGAGGUCUUUACCUCAAAAUAUAAAGUGCCUCAAGGUGACUGCUCUUGUGAUGGUACUAUAUAAAUAAAACUGAACUGCACUGAAAUGAUUUGUGUGUGUGUGUGCGCGCACGUGUGUGUGUGUCAGAGUAAAAGAAACAAGGAAAUAAGGUAUCAGUUUGCUCAUCAUGCUAAUGCAAAUAGCUAUUCUGCCAGUGUAGACAUUCAGCUGUUCAACAUUAUUCCUACUGCUUGAAUCACUUCUUUUCCCCUUGCUAAGUUUGAAGUAUUACCUGUAAGACUAGCGGCAGCAGCUCAGUUUCACUCCGGAUGCCACAGCAGUGCAGAUACACUCAGGACACAAGUAUGAAUGCAAACACAGACAUUUCCCACUGCAGUGGGGAUCCAUCACAGGACUAUAAAAUCAAACUUAACAGAGAACUUAAAUGGGAAAAACAAUGUGUAACUUUACUCAUUACAAGCUCUAACAUGCUGCUUUGUAAACCAGUGCACCCAACACUGCUCAUGAGGUUAAUCUAUGGUAGCUAAAUUGGGAUAUCUGAUUUAAAUUUCAUGGAUUUAAAAACAUGUAAAGAAGGCUCGACUCUUCUCAGGUGGCCAGGCUGUGGCGGGGCCAGCACAGAGAGACACUCACAGUCACACCAGUGGCCAACUUGACUUGCCAGUUAACAUGAUAUGCAUGUGUUUGGAUUGUGGGAGGAAGAACCGACGCACGCAUGGGAGAACAUGCACACACCGGCCAGCUGGCAGUUCCUGGACUCACCUUGUCUUAGACCUCCGGCUUCACUCUGUACCUCACCUGCCUCGCCUCCUGCCACCACACUCCAUCAGGAACCUCUGGAUCUCUGGUCAACCCCCCACCACCACCAAUUGCUCUUUUCCUCCUCCUGCAAUGUGAUGGCUAAAUGCCCUGUUGCAGUCUGCAUCUAAGGCCCCGUUCCCCUCUCUAGAUCCUGUCCCCAUAGCCACGUUACCCAGGCCGCGCCACGUCAAGUUCCACGUUGUCCUUGCCACAUUUUCAAGUCCAGUCUAACUAAUAAACAUAUUGUAAAAACGUCCAGUUUUGGUGCUGACCUCUCAGUCCCGUGACAGAGUGUUUACUUUCCAUGAUGUUCUUAUAUUUUAUAGAUAUUUUGACAGCGUAUUUCAGUGUUACUACUCUGCCUGAUUUACU
Molecule: long non-coding RNA, 1829 nt
Organism: Oreochromis niloticus (Nile tilapia)
Lineage: Eukaryota; Metazoa; Chordata; Actinopteri; Cichliformes; Cichlidae
Exons: 3
Source: RefSeq, a predicted model, not a curated record